This 303-nucleotide long non-coding RNA is filed under the name Mytilus galloprovincialis (Mediterranean mussel). Lineage: Eukaryota; Metazoa; Mollusca; Bivalvia; Mytilida; Mytilidae. The record is from RNAcentral.
UGGGGAUAUAUAUAAUAUUCAUAUAUAAAUUGAUUUGUUGACAUACUGGUCCCCAGAUAUGAUCUCUAUGUUCAUCUCAUAGAGACAUAACUUUGGACUGAUAUAAAAACAUACUAUUGCGGUGAAAUAUGAAUUCUGAAGUAGGCGAAAAGUGGUAGUUCAAAAAUUAAGUAUAAGUUUAAACUCUAACAAGUACAGGGCAUAGAAAUGUUGAAAUAUGCCACACAGCUCUAUGUUUUGACCUUUGGAUAAAAUAAUAGUGCAUAUCAACUUUCUAUUUUAGGAUAUGAUUUGUCACAAAAC